This is a long non-coding RNA of Mastomys coucha (southern multimammate mouse), 1168 nucleotides long. RefSeq lists it as uncharacterized. NCBI's taxonomy places the organism in Eukaryota, Metazoa, Chordata, Mammalia, Rodentia, Muridae. The transcript has 2 exons. The record is from RefSeq and is a predicted model, not a curated record.
CUUUGCGGUGUUGGGGGGGGGGCGGGGGAGAAACGGUGUCCCCUGGCCUGUAAGCAGCCCAGACAGCCUUGCCCUCGGCUGGCCCGAUGCGCUCGGCACUCAGAUAUUUUUCUCGCAGACAGAGCUUUUGUUGUCCUCGCCCCUUCUUACUGCCCAGUUUCUGUUCUAGCCUUGUUUCCUCACCAUGCGCCAGCCCGGGCUCCCGUCCUACUAACGGGAGGCAGCACAGGGUGUUUUUCUUCUCCCUCCUCCCUGGUCACCCAGGAAAUGCGGGCGAUUGGCCACCAGCCUCGAGGGAAGAGACCCAGGGCCUUGCUCCCUGAGUUUUAUCCAAGUUUUGUUUUCUCCUCCACCCAUGAGCCUGACUUAAGCGUUUGUGCCAGUGGCAUCCACCUCCACAGAAGCCAGGCCAGGUGCUCCGGGGUUAGGCAAAUGGAGGAAGAGGACUUUGAACUUAGAAGGCCCCUCUGGAUGUCUCUUCCACAUUAUUGCGGAGUACAAAAACCCUGAAACCAGAAGUCCGGGUGUGACGAGGCCCAGAAUCUCUUGGCACCAGCCUUCCAGUUACUCUCCCAGGCUGCGGCACUCCUGUUUCUAGUUAGUCCUGUUCAAGUUCAGUUGAGUACAUGUGUAGAGAGAUGUUUUUCCUCACCUAUAGCUGUAGUUUGAAAAGUAUUAAUACAAGAAGUUGGUGGACAACCUGUUUCCUCACUGGCUGACGUAUAAAAUUCAGUUGUAAAGUAAUACUCCUUUGUUUAGUUCAUGGAGUUGGGCAGAGCGAUGAAGAAGAUUCAAACGCCUUGUCUCCAAAGCACAAUGUAAAAGAAAAGCUUCCGGACUCACUAGCUUGUGUGGUGUGGCUGGAAUGCUCUAGAGUCCAUGGGCUGUGCCUGGCCCUGGGCCAACAUCUGGUCUCCUGUAUGGCCCUGGCCCUGCUUGUGGGAGAGGUGAUUUUUGUCUGCUGAGGACCAUUUCAUGAGGAGUGUCAAGGAUUGGAUCUGGACUCUGCUGGUGUGGAUCAGUUCUGUCAUUUCUCCAGCAGAGGGCGCAUUCAGCAUUCUUCGGGAUUCUGGAAGCUCAAGUGAAGCAAGCCUGAGAAACAGGGCUUGCUUGAGGGGGAGAGAUUCGGUCUUUCAGUUCAAUAAUUAAAGGUCUAUUUUAAAAGCCA